AUGGAUCAACUGAGACUGGUAUUCGUUACAGGACCACUGAAGACACCGAGAAGAUCACACCCUUCAGUCCCUUCUCUCAUCACACUUUCUGAGAUAUCAGAAGCCGAAUGCGGAAAUGAUGAUGAAGAUUAUGAUGGUUCCUGCAAAGGGGAGCCUCAAUUCAUCGAAUCUAUGAUUUACCAGAGUUGUAAAUAAGAAGUCAGAGGGGGACGAACGUGCAGGGAGUAAUUAUUGCCUGAUGAGGAAAAGGAUCAGGAAGCCAGGAGGCUCUGACAGAUCAGGAAGCCACAACUUUUGUGGGGGGCUCUUCCACAUCUCAUGGAAUGGAUACAUCCUAUUAUGUAGCCAAUUCUUCUUCUGAGGAAUUCUGAAGAGGUAGCAGGUUGGGCAGCAGGAAAAUCAGGUGCAAUGUAUUUACCGGAAAUCUGGAUGAUCCAUUAGGAUCAAUGUCGUUCGCAGCAGUCUCAUGAGCCUCCUACCAAAGGGACGAAGUCCAACUGGAGGAGUUGAUAGAACACAAUACAGGCAGCGGAAACCCUGCCCGUCCAAACGGAUCAAUGAUUUACCAGAAGCAAACAUCUUACCACAAGAAUAAUAAAUGUAAUUUAGAUUUUAGUUAUAGUUUUGUAUAUAUGCUGCUCAUCAAUCUGGUUGUAUGUGAGUUGUGAUUGUUAUGUGUUACCAAUCAAUGAAUUAGGGUCAUGUUUACACAGCAUUUCCUAUUCCUAAGUAUCUUUUGUAUAUCCU
RNA transcript from Fragaria vesca subsp. vesca, 747 nucleotides. RefSeq lists it as uncharacterized. The transcript has 3 exons. The record is from RefSeq and is a predicted model, not a curated record. Lineage: Eukaryota; Viridiplantae; Streptophyta; Magnoliopsida; Rosales; Rosaceae.